Molecule: unclassified non-coding RNA, 330 nt
Filed under: Hevea brasiliensis (rubber tree)
Lineage: Eukaryota; Viridiplantae; Streptophyta; Magnoliopsida; Malpighiales; Euphorbiaceae
Source: RNAcentral
GAGAAUUUGUUUCUCUUCCUUUGUGUCUUGAAAAUUUGUUUCUCUUGAUCCUUCAGUUCUCAUCAGUAUCUCAGUGAAGAUUUUUCGUCUCAUAUGCAGCGAUAUAAUUGUGGAUAAGGAUCUUGUGUCCUUUAUGGAAUUAAACUGAAUUCAUGACACUGUGGCUGAGACAGCCAACUAGUACAUGAAGCAGUUUUCACAUUUCUAUGUUAUGUUACCAGGAAAGCUAUAGAUAGUGAUGUUUUUACCCCAUUCGAGUCUGAGUUUGGCUGUGCACCCAAGCCCCAACAGAUAGCCAAAUUCCUCUGAGGCAUGUAUACUGUAUAUCCG